This 395-nucleotide long non-coding RNA is filed under the name Gallus gallus (chicken). Its description in RNAcentral is "long non-coding RNA NONGGAT002833". Lineage: Eukaryota; Metazoa; Chordata; Aves; Galliformes; Phasianidae. The record is from RNAcentral.
AGGAGAUGGUAUGACUUAGAAGAAGACAAGAAUAACUUUGUGACAUAAAUCCUUGAGGUGAAGAAAUGAAACCCUUGGCUUCAGCUGAAGGCACCGAGAACAGUUUAUUUCUGAUUUUAACAUCAGUAGUGCCUUAUGGUGGGAAGUAUUUAAAUGCUGCCCAUCACUGAGGAAGAGUGGCUGUGAGAUGAACAGAUCCCUUCGCGGUUGUCCUGAAUUUCUGAAUCUGUAAUGUCUCAGAAGACUCAUUAUUAAUACCCCAAAAUAGGGAACUUAAAAUGUAAAGUCAUCCUCAAUGCAUUGUGCAGAAAAUGAGUGCAUUAACCUCUGCUCUGGAUCAUGCUGCUGUCACAGCACCGUGCCCCUGCUCACAAACAGGAUGUCACCUCCCUGUC